RNAcentral lists this ribosomal RNA (266 nucleotides) under Chaetoceros curvisetus. RNAcentral describes it as "partial Bacterial small subunit ribosomal RNA". It matches the Rfam family "Bacterial small subunit ribosomal RNA", at positions 254 to 517 of the family's 1533-position model. Lineage: Eukaryota; Bacillariophyta; Thalassiosirophyceae; Chaetocerotales; Chaetocerotaceae. The record is from RNAcentral.
GGGGUAACGGCCCACCAAGCCUUCGAUCAGUAACUGGUGUGAGAGCACGACCAGUCACACGGGCACUGAGACACGGGCCCGACUCCUACGGGAGGCAGCAGUAAGGAAUAUUGGUCAAUGGACGGAAGUCUGAACCAGCCAUGCCGCGUGAAGGAUGAAGGCCCUCUGGGUUGUAAACUUCUUUUAUCUGGGACGAAAAAAGGGCUUUUUAGCUCACUUGACGGUACCAGAGGAAUAAGCACCGGCUAACUCCGUGCCAGCAGCCG